GAUGAAGAACGUAGCGAAAUGCGAUAACUAAUGUGAAUUGCAGAAUUCCGUGAAUCAUCGAGUCUUUGAACGCACAUUGCGCCCCCUGGUAUUCCGGGGGGCAUGCCUGUCCGAGCGUCAUUGCUGCCCAUCAAGCACGGCUUGUGUGUUGGGUCCCGUCCCCCUCUCCCGGGGGACGGACCCGAAAGGCAGCGGCGGCACCGCGUCCGGUCCUCGAGCGUAUGGGGCUUUGUCACCCGCUCUUGUAGGCCCGGCCGGCGCUUGCCGACACCCAACCAUUUUUUUCAGGUUGACCUCGGAUCAGGUAGGGAUACCCGCUGAACUUAAGCAUAUCAAUAACGGAGGA
This 346-nucleotide unclassified non-coding RNA is filed under the name soil metagenome. Its description in RNAcentral is "partial contains 5.8S ribosomal RNA, internal transcribed spacer 2, and large subunit ribosomal RNA". The stretch from base 1 to 120 matches the Rfam family "5.8S ribosomal RNA", at positions 35 to 154 of the family's 154-position model. The record is from RNAcentral.